CGUCUUCGUCUUUUUUUCCACAAAAACCCAUAGCCCCCUGUUUCACCGCCAUCACUUCUCCGGUGCCGUUUCCUAUCCUUUUCUCUACAAAAUGUGCACUCUUCACUUCUUUCUCUCUUUUUUUUUUUUAUCUCUCUUUCCUCCUUUUUUUCCUUCAGCUCUAGCUCUAGCUUCUUGCUGUGUCGUCACCGCUUCACUCCGAUGACGAAACACCGUCUAAAACCACCUAAAGUAGAGCCCCAAAACCCCUCCCUUCCUUUCUCUAAAUGUGAUAACAAUUCGAACCUUAUCACAGGCGGGAACUAACUCUGAUGCAAAAUAUUGUUCGAGUUUCGACCACCAUCUUCUAAAAUUAGAUCCAUUGAAAUGAGGACAUUCCAAUCUGGAAAAUCACUCAGUAACGAAUCUUGCUCUAGUCAGCUGAAUUGAUGCUAGAACCAAUGAGGGUUGGUUGGGUGCCAUCGAUUCCUUGGGGGGAAAUCCUAGAGGUUCUCCCAACACGCCCUUUCUUUUUGCUUGAUUUGUUGCUGCUGUAUUCGAUGAGGAGGACCUCAAAUAUUGUUCAAAGAGUGAAUGCAUUUCUCCCCUUAAAUCCUCCCUGAAGUUUUGAAGCCUGCUUUCUAACUUAAAGUCUCAUUUAGCAUCUAGCUAAGACAGUUCCCCUUGGACCUUCAAAAGUUCUUGCUGUAGAAUCGAGGUAUCCUUCUGCCCACGCGUGGUCACACCGUCCCCAUCCAUGAAGAAUCGCUGAAGCUCUGAUACCUUGAUAAGAAUCGACCUAGAAAAUAGGAAAAGAACAAUAGAAUGGAAAAAGAUAAAGAAUAAGAAAGAAAAGACCCAAGAGUUGUUUUCUACUGCAUAUUUCAUUCCCUGUAUUAUAGUCAUAUAACCUGGUUUAUAGAGAAAAUAAAGAAAAAUGACAAAAAGGGAAGUUGUGACAGCGGUAACAAAAAUAACAAACUUAUUUGGUGAAAACGCCCCGUUUCAUUUAAGUUCAUAGAAAUUACUCUUUUGCCACUAAAAAUUCAGCUCGCAUCAAAAUGCUUUUCUUAGAAAAUCACUAGAAAUUUCCAAACAUCCUAAGAGACUUUCGAGCUUGUUAAACCCGGAUCUCUCUCAGUUAGAUCGACUCGAUUUUGAGAUAUGUUACUCUUUUCGACAGUGGCUAUUUCUUUACUGUUGGGAUUUGCAAACUGAAGGUCAGAGCUUCGUAAAAUGCCACUGACCCAAGAUAAGUUCCCUUCUUUUUUCGAUGCUUUCCUUCUAGUUUUGAUUAAAUUUGUACAUGAUUUGAUUUAUUUCACACUAUUUUUAGACACUAUAAGAAGGCAUAAUGAUAUUAAUUAUACAUGAUUCCGUAGCAAUUUUGAUUAAAUUUUGUUUCUCCAUUUGAUACAGAGGCUUGAGGGUUAAUGUUUCCAGUGUUUUUUCACUGCAAUUCAUGGUGAAUAGGGAAAAAAUCCAUGGUUUUUUUUCUAGUUAUUUUGUUGCAGAGGAAUUCAAUGAAGACUCCGAGCUUAAAUGAUUAGAAGAUUAGAAAACCCUCAUUGUUAGAAUGUUCAAUUUGGUUUGGAGAAAGGUGGUGUUUGAUAACCAGGAGAAUCCCUAGAAGAAUAGUUGAGAAGGACUUCAAAUUUCUCUCUGAUUUUCUUAGUCCGGCUCUCACGCCCAUUCGUUUUCCAUCGUCUGUCUUGCGUGGCUCGGAACAUCGUCUUCCAGGUAAGAAGCUUCUCCAGAACUCAAACAUUCCUUUGCUAAAAGAUGGGCUAAUUGAUUUUCCGAGCGAUUGAUAUGUUGGAUUCGAGUGAAAGAAAACCUGUUCAUCUCCUGUUUAAUGUUGCGUAUAUAAGCGCUUAUUUCAGAUCUGUCAUGUAUGUUGGUGUUGCAUUUCUUUACUAUUGAAAGGGAGUCUCCCACUAUGAUUAUUUCUGAAAAACCCAUUUCUGAAUUUGUUUUUAUUGCCCAUAAACACGCGAGUGCUUCUGCUGCAAACGCGGUACCCACCUCAGCAUGCAGGAUCGUCCGUGAAAAUAAGACUUUUCCUUGAUUGCUUUUAGCAACAAUUCCCGUUUCCGAUCUGGAAUUCCCCUCAUCAAAGGCCGCGUCAAAAUUGAUUUUGAUUCUUCCUUCGCUUGGCGGUACCCAUCUCCUUACUCCUCUUCUUCUCCACAGUGCCACACAGAGAACUCGUCUUCUAGGAGCGGAACAGCCGUUGAAAGCCCGGGGCAGCCACGAAAGACUGGUCAACAUUCUCGACAUCAAUACUGCAUCUUGGACAUAAUAGAUUUGACACAAGUCGUUUAUAAUACAAAUUUGAAAAAAUAGGAAUAUAGUUCUUUGAAAUUCGCCAAAUUGUUUUAGCCAGGAGUUCUGAACUCCAAAGUUUCUUGUAGAAAUCUUUAGCUUUGGUUUGUAAUUCGUUUAAAGUAGGAGUAGGAUUACCAUUUUGUAAUAGUUUGUAGGCGCUCCGCACAGGGAAAUCCCCCGAAGGUUCCCCCCUCUAUAUCAACAUAUCCUCAUGAGGAGUACUGGCCAAAGGUAUUCGCAAAAUUCUGUCUGCAUCAGCACGCGAAAAGAUGUUUUAGCGUUUGCGAUGUGAGUGGUGUGGGUAUACCAAGGAAGUGAUCCAAGUUAGGCUUUAGUUUUUGUGUAGGUGAUAUUAUUAUUCUUUGAACCGUGGGAAUAAGGCAAUGUGGUAGAUUUUUAGUUGAUCAAUGCCAUGAUGUUUUGGAUGUUUACAUGACUUUAUUGCUCUUAAGAUUUAUGGAUAUUAAGCUUGAUAUAUUGAUUCUUGCUCGAACAUAUUUUUGAUAUUUUGAACUGUUAUUAUAGUCAUUUUGGCAAUUGCUUGAUGUGGUA
Gossypium raimondii (Peruvian cotton) is the source of this 2859-nucleotide long non-coding RNA. RefSeq lists it as uncharacterized. The transcript has 6 exons. Lineage: Eukaryota; Viridiplantae; Streptophyta; Magnoliopsida; Malvales; Malvaceae. The record is from RefSeq and is a predicted model, not a curated record.